AGUGAACGCUGGCGGUAGGCCUAACACAUGCAAGUCGAACGGCAGCACAGUAAGAGCUUGCUCUUACGGGUGGCGAGUGGCGGACGGGUGAGGAAUACAUCGGAAUCUACUUUUUCGUGGGGGAUAACGUAGGGAAACUUACGCUAAUACCGCAUACGACCUACGGGUGAAAGCAGGGGAUCUUCGGACCUUGCGCGAUUGAAUGAGCCGAUGUCGGAUUAGCUAGUUGGCGGGGUAAAGGCCCACCAAGGCGACGAUCCGUAGCUGGUCUGAGAGGAUGAAUCGGCAACCCGGAAACGAGAACAGGUCCCGACCUCCAAGGGAGGGCAGCGGGGGGAAUUUUGGACCAAGGGGGGAAGGCCGAUCCCAGCCUAACCGGUGGGUGGAGGAGGCCUUUCGGGUGUUAAGCCCUUUUUUUUGGGAAGAAAAGCCGGCGGUUAAAAACCCGGUGUUUUGACGGGAACCAAAGAAUAAGCACCGGCUAACUUCGUG
This 492-nucleotide ribosomal RNA is filed under the name uncultured bacterium. RNAcentral's name for it is "partial 16S ribosomal RNA". It matches the Rfam family "Bacterial small subunit ribosomal RNA", at positions 29 to 507 of the family's 1533-position model. The record is from RNAcentral.